Molecule: ribosomal RNA, 1082 nt
Filed under: Salmonella enterica subsp. enterica serovar Enteritidis
Lineage: Bacteria; Pseudomonadati; Pseudomonadota; Gammaproteobacteria; Enterobacterales; Enterobacteriaceae
Description: partial 23S ribosomal RNA
Rfam family: Bacterial large subunit ribosomal RNA
Source: RNAcentral
CGGCGAUACCCGAAUGGGGAAACCCAGUGUGACUCGUCACACUAUCAUUAACUGAAUCCAUAGGUUAAUGAGGCGAACCGGGGGAACUGAAACAUCUAAGUACCCCGAGGAAAAGAAAUCAACCGAGAUUCCCCCAGUAGCGGCGAGCGAACGGGGAGGAGCCCAGAGCCUGAAUCAGCAUGUGUGUUAGUGGAAGCGUCUGGAAAGGCGCGCGAUACAGGGUGACAGCCCCGUACACAAAAGCGCAUGUGCUGUGAGCUCGAUGAGUAGGGCGGGACACGUGGUAUCCUGUCUGAAUAUGGGGGGACCAUCCUCCAAGGCUAAAUACUCCUGACUGACCGAUAGUGAACCAGUACCGUGAGGGAAAGGCGAAAAGAACCCCGGCGAGGGGAGUGAAAAAGAACCUGAAACCGUGUACGUACAAGCAGUGGGAGCACCCUUUGGGUGUGACUGCGUACCUUUUGUAUAAUGGGUCAGCGACUUAUAUUCUGUAGCAAGGUUAACCGAAUAGGGGAGCCGGAGGGAAACCGAGUCUUAAUUGGGCGUUAAGUUGCAGGGUAUAGACCCGAAACCCGGUGAUCUAGCCAUGGGCAGGUUGAAGGUUGGGUAACACUAACUGGAGGACCGAACCGACUAAUGUUGAAAAAUUAGCGGAUGACCUGUGGCUGGGGGUGAAAGGCCAAUCAAACCGGGAGAUAGCUGGUUCUCCCCGAAAGCUAUUUAGGUAGCGCCUCGUGAAUUCAUCUCCGGGGGUAGAGCACUGUUUCGGCUAGGGGGCCAUCCCGGCUUACCAACCCGAUGCAAACUGCGAAUACCGGAGAAUGUUAUCACGGGAGACACACGGCGGGUGCUAACGUCCGUCGUGAAGAGGGAAACAACCCAGACCGCCAGCUAAGGUCCCAAAGUCAUGGUUAAGUGGGAAACGAUGUGGGAAGGCCCAGACAGCCAGGAUGUUGGCUUAGAAGCAGCCAUCAUUUAAAGAAAGCGUAAUAGCUCACUGGUCGAGUCGGCCUGCGCGGAAGAUGUAACGGGGCUAAACCAUGCACCGAAGCUGCGGCAGCGACACUGUGUGUUGUUGGGUA